AUAAGACGGAUUAGCGGCGGACGGGUGAGUAACACGUGAGUAACCUGCCUUUUACACAGGGAUAGCCUCGGGAAACCGGGAUUAAAACCUGAUGAAACUAUCAAAUCACAUGAUUAAGAAAGUUAAAACUCCGGUGGUAAAAGAUGGACUCGCGUCCCAUUAGCUAGUUGGUGAAGGUAACGGCCCACCAAGGCAACGAUGGGUAGCCGGCCUGAGAGGGUGAACGGCCACAUUGGAACUGAGACACGGCCCAGACUCCUACGGGAGGCAGCAGCC
This 276-nucleotide ribosomal RNA is filed under the name uncultured Peptoniphilus sp. Its description in RNAcentral is "partial 16S ribosomal RNA". It matches the Rfam family "Bacterial small subunit ribosomal RNA", at positions 82 to 355 of the family's 1533-position model. Lineage: Bacteria; Bacillati; Bacillota; Tissierellia; Tissierellales; Peptoniphilaceae. The record is from RNAcentral.